RNAcentral lists this long non-coding RNA (823 nucleotides) under Monodelphis domestica (gray short-tailed opossum). RNAcentral's name for it is "lncRNA (ENSMODG00000038559.1)". The record is from RNAcentral. Lineage: Eukaryota; Metazoa; Chordata; Mammalia; Didelphimorphia; Didelphidae.
GGGGAAGUCCUCAAACAGUCAGAUGGAAACAGCUCUUUAGAAUGUCAUGUUCCUAAAAGCUGAAAUCAGAAUCUGGGCCCUGCUAAGUACUACACUUUCUCACCUGACCCUUUGAGUGUCUCCUUCAGGGAGGACCCUUAAGAAAGGAUUGGGGGGGGUGGUACAGGCAUCCAGACCCCGAGACAGGAGGUUCUGUGUUCAAAUAUGGCUUCAGAUGCUUCCUAGACAAGUCAGUUAUAACCUCCAUCACUUAUUCCUUACCUCUCUUCUGCCUUGGAACUGCUCCACAGUAUUGAUUCUAAGACAGAAGGGAAGGGCUUCAAAGAAAGAAAAGGAAAAAAGGAGUUGACUGGCACAUGGGACAGGGAGGAGCUGCUGAAAGAUGUUUCUCCCUUCUUUCCUAGGCGGGGAAGAAGUUCUGGAGACUCGAAGGAUUGGGGCCCAGCCGGCCAUUGAAGCUACUGCCAGAACAGGAGCCAGGAGCCACACGCGGGGAAGAAGUUCUGGAGACUCGAAGGAUUGGGGCCCAGCCGGCCAUUGAAGCUACUGCCAGAACAGGAGCCAGGAGCCACACAAACCAGAUGCAACUGUUGGCCCGAGCCUGUGAAAAUGAAGUGCCACGUCUUCUGUGAGACCCGCCAGUGCUCUGCUGACAGCAGAUCACUAAAGGUCGUGGCUUUCUCCCAGUGACGCACCUUCCUGCGUGGCAUCUGUGCUUCAGAGCAUCCGGAGGACUCCACUAUUCGCAGACACUCCCUGCAGGACCCUCAGUCUUCACUGGCUCUCCUCCGGCUCCGACACAGACACUUUUGUUUUCAUCAAA